RNAcentral lists this long non-coding RNA (310 nucleotides) under Phoenix dactylifera (date palm). RNAcentral's name for it is "long non-coding RNA (PDAC_LNC020325)". Lineage: Eukaryota; Viridiplantae; Streptophyta; Magnoliopsida; Arecales; Arecaceae. The record is from RNAcentral.
UGUUAUAAAUGGUAUCAGAGCCGAGGACGGCUCUUGUCCGAUGGUGGGAAGGGUGUGAGGCCCAAUAGUCCCACAUCGGAAAGACUCGUUCCAGAGCCUGGGCAUAUGAGGCGGGUGACUCCAAAUCCUGCAGACGCGUUUUGGGUGGAAAAUAAAACCGGAGAGGGGUGAAGGACGCUUGCGUGAAGCCCCGGAACCGGACAAUAUCUGGCAGGGGAGCCCCGCGGUCCCCCCUCAUGUGGCCCCCACGUGGGCACUGGGUGCCUCACGUGCUCCGCAGAAGCGGGGGCGUGACAUUUGGUAUCAGAGC